AGAGUUUGAUCCUGGCUCAGAUUGAACGCUGGCGGAAUGCUUUACACAUGCAAGUCGAGCGGCAGCAUGGACUUCGGUCUGAAGGCGAGCGGCGAACGGGUGAGUAACAUAUAGGAACAUACCCAGUAAUGGGGGAUAACUCCGAGAAAUCGGAGCUAAUACCGCAUACGCCCUGAGGGGGAAAGCGGGGGAUCUUCGGACCUCGCGUUAUUGGAAUGGCCUAUAUCUGAUUAGCUAGUUGGUGAGGUAAAGGCUCACCAAGGCGACGAUCAGUAGCUGGUCUGAGAGGAUGAUCAGCCACACUGGAACUGAGACACGGUCCAGACUCCUACGGGAGGCAGCAGUGGGGAAUUUUGGACAAUGGGCGAAAGCCUGAUCCAGCCAUUCCGCGUGAGUGAAGAGGGCCUUCGGGUUGUAAAGCUCUUUCGGCAGGAACGAAACGGCGGAUAUUAAUACUAUCCGUUACUGACGGUACCUGAAGAAGAAGCACCGGCUAACUACGUGCCAGCAGCCGCGUAAUAC
This 522-nucleotide ribosomal RNA is filed under the name uncultured beta proteobacterium. RNAcentral describes it as "bacterial SSU rRNA". It matches the Rfam family "Bacterial small subunit ribosomal RNA", at positions 8 to 526 of the family's 1533-position model. Lineage: Bacteria; Pseudomonadati; Pseudomonadota; Betaproteobacteria. The record is from RNAcentral.